UGGGCUUAACAGAGCUCUAACAGUCGACUCCUCUCCUCCAAUCGACCCAGACGCCCUUCUUCUGUUACGUCGUGAGAGAUGUCACGAUCGUGUUUGCGUUGGCUGUUGGAGCUGCUUAUCUCAACAAUUGGCUUGUUUGGCCUCUCUAUUGGUUUGCUCAAGGAACCAUGUUCUGGGCUCUCUUUGUUCUUGGCCUCUAUUCUUGUCCCUUACCAUGGCUGGAGAAUUAGCCACGGAGCUCACCACCAGAACCGUGGACAUGUUGAGAACGACUAAUCUUGGCAUCCUAGUCAAAGAAUGGAGCAUUGGGAGUUUUCUUGUGCCACGGAGUGGAGGAAGUCUUGUAGUUUUCUGUCUUGUUGUCUUGUAGCAUUGGGAGUAAGCUUGUAGUUUUCUGUCGUGGAGUAAGUCUUGUAGUUUUCAGUCACUUUUGAUUACACACUCAUAUUCUCUCAUUCUCAACCAACCAAGAUCAUCUUGUAGACAUGUUUUUCAUAAAAUGUUUAAUUUAUGUAAGAACUUUUAACUAAGAGACUUGCAUUGGAGAUGGUAAAUAUUAAAAUUUCUUAGCUAUGUCUCUUAAGUCAUUUUAGAGCUUUGGGAUAAUGAUGCUCUAAGUCGUUUAACACUUUGAAUUUAGAUAAUUUCAUUGAAAAACAAGUAAUUUUUCUCAUGUACUGAGAUUUAGACAAAAUAAAGUAACACGAGAUUCCUUUCACACAUUCAUCAGUUCAAUUUGAAAUCAAUAUGGUUUAGUUCCAAUAUAAUUGCCCACAGGGUCAUAGUUACACACAAUAAUACUUGCACCAUUGGCACACAUACCCUUACCACAACCGACCCGAGCAGAGCCACGCCACACGACCUGCGUGUAGUGCCCACAAGCUGAACCGUGGCACGAGUUUUAGUAAUAAUCAUAAUACGACUUUUCAUCUAUCCACAUCGCAACAGCCUGAGCUGCUGACAUGUCUCCGCUCCCAUUGCAAGGUUCUCUCCAUAUGGUCCAGAUGAAGGCUCGAGGCUGCAUGAACCGACUGCUAAUUGGUUUGCGUAGUCCUGAGCCACAGUGGCUAGGCUGAAGUCCCAUCUUAGAGGCUUGACUCUGACCAAGGCUCGGGCUAUUAGGGAUAAAUGUCCCACAUCGGAUAUUGGAAGGGAUCCUAAGCAAUAUAUAAGAUAGAUGGGUCACUCCACUUAGCACCAAUUGGUUUUAGGUUGGAAGUCCAUCUAGCUUAACAUGGUAUCAGAGCCCGAUCCACGCAGUCCAAUCCGAUCCAUUAUCGAUCCAGCCCAAAGUCGGCCCAUCGAUCCUUGCCCGAGCAUUCCGAGAUUGACGCUCAAAGAGCCAUCAUCUCGAGGGGGCGUAUUAGGAUAAAUGUCCCACAUCGGAUAUUGGAAGGGAUCCUAAGCAAUAUAUAAGAUAGAUGGGUCACUCCACUUAGCACCAAUUGGUUUUAGGUUGGAAGUCCAUCUAGCUUAACAUGGUAUCAGAGCCCGAUCCACGCAGUCCAAUCCGAUCCAUUAUCGAUCCAGCCCAAAGUCGGCCCAUCGAUCCUUGCCCGAGCAUUCCGAGAUUGACGCUCAAAGAGCCAUCAUCUCGAGGGGGCGUAUUAGGAUAAAUGUCCCACAUCGGAUAUUGGAAGGGAUCCUAAGCAAUAUAUAAGAUAGAUGGGUCACUCCACUUAGCACCAAUUGGUUUUAGGUUGGAAGCCCAUCUAGCUUAACACGGGCUACGUUGUGUGGUCUGAGGUAGUUGUCAGGAGAGUCAUGGGACUGCGAAUACUGAGAAUAUUGUGCGAAAGAAACAUCUAUUUGAGUCAAGUAGUUGAUGAGAAGUAAGAGAAGCAAGGAUUCUAUAGAGACCUUACGAAACAUUUUCAAUGACUUUGUUCUUUGUUUCGUAAAGUAUGUAUGGGAACAAGAUGAGUUUCCUGUGUUUUGUGAUGCUACUUAUAGAAAGUGUUUUGUUCUUCUGGUGAUCUCUCCCUCACUCGCAACCACGACGCCGCGAAUGAAUACUACCGAAAGGUCGAUUCUUCAGCCGGCGAGACGAAUUCUCUUGUGGCGGAGCAAGGAAGCUUGAGAGGUGAUGAAGAUGACGUCCCAUCUCAGUGCACCUGAUGCUUGGGUUGAUGUGGUUGAGAGGUUCUCUAAUGACAACAACAAGACUCUCAAGUCAGUCUCUCCUUCUAUUGUUUACAAUAACAUCAUAUAUAUGUAAAGGUUGACACUUUAGCUCUUUAGAAUUGGUCCCGCUUGAUCUCAUUUGAAACACAAUUAUCCUUUUUCAAGUGUUCACAGAAUAAACCAUUGGUUGGUUGCAGGAGGACAACAAAGAGCACAAGGUGCCUUAACUUGGGAUCUUACAACUAUCUUGGAUUUGGUUCUUAUGAUGAAUACUGCACCCCUCUUGUUAUCGAGUCUAUGAAGCUCCCGAGUUGAUGCAGGUUCCAGUUUCUUAAUCUCUAACAAUCUCUCUCUCUGCUGAGAAAAAAAGAGAAAAUGCAUCAAAGAGCAGCAGAGUCUCUGGAACAAUCACUUCUCUGCUGAUAUUCUACUCCACCAUGGUAAGCUCUGAUGGUAGCCACCAGUCUUUGCUUGUGAACUUGUGUGCUAAGCUUGUUCUUUUUGUUUUUACACAGAUUCUUCCAGCAUCAAGGUAAAGCAUCUCAAGCAUGACAAAGAUUGUUCACAUCAUUUUAUACUAGUGUCCAUCACUCUGUAACUGAUAGAUAAAUCAUCUGAACAAAAGAAGUUUGCUUAGAAACACCACUUAUCAUCACGAAAAUUGCAUUCUUGUCAGAUUUUGACUUCUGUGAUAGGAUAAAUAGCCACAGCUAGAGCUGCAGCUGCGUGUAACAUGAUCAUGAUUGUAUCAUAUGCACUAUUGAGGAGGUUGCUUCAAGUUGUAACGCUGUUCGGUUUCUUCAAAUAUAUGUAAGUACAU
This is a long non-coding RNA of Brassica rapa (field mustard), 2944 nucleotides long. RefSeq lists it as uncharacterized. The record is from RefSeq and is a predicted model, not a curated record. NCBI's taxonomy places the organism in Eukaryota, Viridiplantae, Streptophyta, Magnoliopsida, Brassicales, Brassicaceae.